AUGUCUCUGUGACCCGCAGCCUGGAGGAGCUCAGCCUGGCCUGGCAGGUGGAUGGUGACUACAGGGCCACCGAGAAGACUCAGCAGGCCUGCCCAGGACAGAGCCCCACCUGCUGGGCCUUCUUCCAGGACCCCGCUCCAGCUUGGGGAACUGCUUCCCAGUGUUUGAGAUUUCGUCUAAACCAGCACUAGCCUGCCAAAGACUUCAAACUCCUUCACCUUCUACUCUACUUCCAGCUCCUUGACAAGGGCAAGAUUCUUGGCUGGGACAGAAUAACUAGCAUGGAAUGCU
This is a long non-coding RNA of Cebus imitator (Panamanian white-faced capuchin), 291 nucleotides long. RefSeq lists it as uncharacterized. Lineage: Eukaryota; Metazoa; Chordata; Mammalia; Primates; Cebidae. The transcript is spliced from 3 exons. The record is from RefSeq and is a predicted model, not a curated record.